This 545-nucleotide long non-coding RNA is filed under the name Homo sapiens (human). RNAcentral's name for it is "HSALNT0098573". Lineage: Eukaryota; Metazoa; Chordata; Mammalia; Primates; Hominidae. The record is from RNAcentral.
GUCGAAGGCUCAAACCUCCCAGCAGGGAAGAGCUUCACAGCCUCUGACCCAUGAAAUAGUGCCACCGAGGGCCCUAAAUAGGGUGAGGGGCUGAGCUGGAGGAGGCCUCAAGGGUGGAGCCCCUCCCUGCAGCGGCACUGUCCUGGGAGCAAGGAGGCAGGGGGUCACCUCUCCUCGGCAGCAGCCCCACACCCCCGCAGCUCAGCUGCAGCUGCUGCCCAGGCAGAUAAACCGUCAGUUUCCUUUGCUCGAAGCUAUUUGCAUGUUUCCUUCCUUAACAGCUUGAGGCAGAGGCCUCCCUCCCACCCCAGCUCUUGGCCUGUGGCCCAAGUGCCCCUUUUUGGGGGUGAGAGGGAACCAAUAUAAUGGCAGUGUCUGGUGGUCUGCCCGGCCACUGGAUGCUUUACAAACAUGACCCAGUAGCAGUCCCAGCUCGAGUUCUCAUGGCCUUUUGAGAGACGACAUUGAUGCUUGUGGAGGUCACAGUUAGGAAAGAGCGGGCUGGGAUUUGAACCCAGGGCUGACCAAUCCCAAGCAUAGCCAAG